CCAAUGCCCUUCGGGGCUCUUUGGUGAUUCAUGAUAACCUAACGGAUCGCAUGGCCUUGCGCCGGCGACGGUUCAUUCAAAUUUCUGCCCUAUCAACUUUCGAUGGUAAGGUAUUGGCUUACCAUGGUUUCAACGGGUAACGGGGAAUUAGGGUUCGAUUCCGGAGAGGGAGCCUGAGAAACGGCUACCACAUCCAAGGAAGGCAGCAGGCGCGCAAAUUACCCAAUCCCGACACGGGGAGGUAGUGACAAUAAAUACUGAUACAGGGCUCUUUUGGGUCUUGUAAUUGGAAUGAGUACAAUUUAAACCCCUUAACGAGGAACAAUUGGAGGGCAAGUCUGGUGCCAGCAGCCGCGGUAAUUCCAGCUCCAAUAGCGUAUAUUAAAGUUGUUGCAGUUAAAAAGCUCGUAGUUGAAACUUGGGUCUGGCUAGCGGGUCCGCCUCACCGCGUGCACUUGUCCGGCUGGACCUUUCCUUCUGGAGAACCUCAUGCCCUUCACUGGGUGUGUUGGGGAACCAGGACUUUUACUUUGAAAAAAUUAGAGUGUUCAAAGCAGGCCUUUGCUCGAAUACGUUAGCAUGGAAUAAUAGAAUAGGACGUGCGGUCCUAUUUUGUUGGUUUCUAGGAUCGCCGUAAUGAUUAAUAGGGAUAGUCGGGGGCAUCAGUAUUCAAUUGUCAGAGGUGAAAUUCUUGGAUUUAUUGAAGACUAACUACUGCGAAAGCAUUUGCCAAGGAUGUUUUCAUUAAUCAGUGAACGAAAGUUAGGGGAUCGAAGACGAUCAGAUACCGUCGUAGUCUUAACCGUAAACUAUGCCGACUAGGGAUCGGGCGAUGUUUCUAUCUUGACUCGCUCGGCACCUUACGAG
This 867-nucleotide ribosomal RNA is filed under the name Muriformistrickeria rubi. RNAcentral describes it as "SSU rRNA". It matches the Rfam family "Eukaryotic small subunit ribosomal RNA", at positions 222 to 1094 of the family's 1831-position model. Lineage: Eukaryota; Fungi; Ascomycota; Dothideomycetes; Pleosporales; Melanommataceae. The record is from RNAcentral.